UUAGCUCAAUUGUUAAGAGGGAUAUAGAAUAAAAAAAGACGAAAUAUAAAAUAUGCCAGCCCUCGACCCGCCUCCUUCAGCCUCAGCGCCUCCCUCCGCCGACUUUGCAGACUUGCAGUAGCAACAGUUUCCAACGCUCAAUUUCCGGUAUUGCAGGUAAGCCGACAGGCUAUUCGUGCCGUUUAGAAGUUCGUAUUUUUUUUUUUUUGUAUGCUGUAAAUUGAGGCAAACUUGUUAUCCUUUCUAGAAUAAACUUGCCUUUGAAUGAUGAAUGAUGAAUGUUGGCUCUUAUAUACAUCCUUGAUAUUCAGGCAGUUAUAUGUAUCACUUCUAAUUUUUUGUUUUUUUUUUGUUUUUUAGGGUUUGUUUUUUUUGGUUGACAAAUUUACCCUUUCUCAUCCCCUUCAAAUAAUAAUGAUAAUGAAUAAUACUCCCUCCGUCCGUCAAAAGUGGACCAUUUUUAGUAUAUCGGGCGUCCGCAAAGAGUAUACCACUUUCCUUUUAUAGAAAUGGUCCCACCAUCCACUUUAAUCUUUUAUCCUUACAAACACUCUUUAUUUACAAAAAAAAACCCACCUCAAAUUCAAUCUCAACCACAUAUCUCAUCUCCUAAAUUGGUGGGACCCUUUCUUCACUACAUCAAAAUUAUCACCAAUUUUAUAAAAUCCCGUGCCCAGCCAAAGUGGUCCACUUUUGGCGGACGGAGGGAGUAUUAUCACAUAAAAAAUGGAGGUAUAACUUGGAGUGAAUUGAUAAUAUUAUCACANCCUUCUCAACUCCGGCCACCACAGUAGGAGUCACGUUUGAGUGUAUUAUGUUAGCCUUUUUUUUCUUUAAAUAUAAUAAAGCUGGCAAUUCCAAGUGGAUUAAUAAGUCCACAUAAUCAAACUCCGGCGUUCCACGUCAACUCCCGGGCGCCGAAUUUUUUUUACGAAACACAAUUAAAAAAAUAUUGGUAGGUUGGGUACUAAUUAGAUAUUAUCAAAAAGUUGGGACAUAAUCGAUAAUUCGGCCAAACGAUGGGACAUAAAGUGACAUUUACCCUAUAAAUAAACACAUUAGCUCAAUUGUUAAGAGAGAUAAGCUUCAAAAAAAAAUUUGUUAAGAGAGAUAUAGAAUAAAAAAGAGACGCAAUAUAAAAUAACCCAGCCCUCGACCCGACUCCUUCAGCCUCAGCGCCUCCCUCCGCCGACUUUGCAGACUUGCAGUAGCAACAGUUUCCAACGCUCAAUUUCCGGUAUUGCAGGUAAGCCGACAGGCUAUUCGUGCCAUUUAGAAGUUCGAACUUUUUUUUUGUAUGCUGUAAAUUGGGGCAAACUUGUUAUCCUUUCUAGAAUAAACUUGCCUUUGAAUGAUGAAUGUUGGCUCUUAUAUACAUCCUUGAUAUUCAGGCAGUUAUAUGUAUCACUUCAAUUUUUUUUGUUUUGUUUUUGUUUUUGUUUUUGUUUUUUUAGGGUUUGUUUUUUUUGGUUGACAAAUUUACCCUUUCUCAUCCCCUUCAAAUAAGAAUGAUAAUGAAUAAUAUUAUCACAUGAGUGAAUUGAUAAUAUUAUCACAUUAAAAAUGGAGGGAUAAUUUGGAGUGAAAAGAAGGGAUGGGAAUCGAUAAUAUUCUGGUUCAUAGAAGAUGAUGGAAAAGAAAGAAGAAUUUAAAGGGAUAAAUUUUUGUUAUGUCUUAUUUUCUCAUGAUAAGUUUAUCAAGCAAAGAGAACGCACCUGAGUUGUUUAUAUCAACAAUGAUUUUUAACCAAGAAAUAAAAUUCAGCCAACACUUUUACAAAUUACACAAACACAACAGAAUAAGCUCAUACUCUAUUGGCGGGAAAAUGACUAUAUAUAUAUAUAUAUAUAUAUAUAUAUAUAUAGAUGGCCCAAGAAGCUACAACGAUCGAUUUCAAAAACACUGGAUGUCGGAAAUUUUCACAGUUUUGGUCGCCCCUAAGUUGAUUGCUUCACGAGGGUAAGGAAAACAUGUCAAUUUCUUCAGUUUCUUAUAAAUUGCUAGAAAUUUAUUUGUUUCCAUUCCAUUCAAUCAUAGUAAACGUUUGUUUAGGUACUCAAUUUUACUUCCAUCACCAACUUCCACUAGGGUAAUUGAAACUCAAUUAGAGAAGGUUUUGAACCUGCCUUAUCAUUAUAAGUAUUCGAUUUUUCUUAAUUUUUUAAAAGAUUGUACUCCUCAGAAUAUUAUUUAGUGCAAGAAAAGAUGUAGUGAAAUUAUUAAGCGAAGUAGGAUUUUAGUGGUGGUUAAUUGUAGUUGAAUUUUUUUUAUGAGAGGAUGAAAGAGAACAAAUAAUAAGGAAUGACUGUUUACAAGCAUUUCUGAGUAUUGUCUUGUAAGAGGUGAUGCAGUAACUCUGUGGUUGUCUGUGUGUAUUGCUGUUUGCAAUAAAUUCACUGUGUGUGCGUGUGUGUUUUGUCUGAGAGUUGUGUGGUUUGUGUUGAAUGUUUUGGACAGGGAUGCACAUUGCUGGAUUUAACUUCCAUGGAGAACAUACCGUUUAAAGUUGGACAACUGGCUGAAUUAAGGUCCUUUUGUUCUGGUUAUCGUGGUGCGUGGUUUCGAUGCAAGGUAAUGGAAGAUGCCACAUCUGUAAUGUUGAGGAAUUUGUAUGUUAGUUCUAUAUUUCAGCAUGAAUUGCAAUAUGAGAGAAACAUAUUUGGGAUAAGUUAUUUAGUGGUUAGCGAAGUUUCCCUAAAUAGGAUUACUUCCUUGUAAAGUUUAUCCUGGAACGUUAUUUUGUUGACAUAAUCUAGAUUUUUGUAUAAACUUAGAAAUUUAAGGAUUGAGCUGUGUAAACCGUUAUCACACACACGUAUUGUAAUUACACAUAUCAUAUAAGGGAGAGUUGGUUUAA
RNAcentral lists this long non-coding RNA (2857 nucleotides) under Salvia miltiorrhiza (redroot sage). RNAcentral's name for it is "long non-coding RNA (SMIL_LNC000660)". The record is from RNAcentral. Lineage: Eukaryota; Viridiplantae; Streptophyta; Magnoliopsida; Lamiales; Lamiaceae.